RNAcentral lists this long non-coding RNA (208 nucleotides) under Carica papaya (papaya). RNAcentral describes it as "long non-coding RNA (CPAP_LNC002831)". Lineage: Eukaryota; Viridiplantae; Streptophyta; Magnoliopsida; Brassicales; Caricaceae. The record is from RNAcentral.
GUGUCUUAGUUUGGGUAUUGAACUUCUAGAAAUGUUUGAUAAUGUGUUACUAUGUGUUGUAGAGGUGGAGAUGUAUGUACAAUUGAUUUGGAGCAAUGAAUGUGGACAAGUUUCUCUUAUGCAUGGUUGGAAUGAUAUGUGAUUUGUGUGUUGAGUCGUAUGAAUGCUUUAUCUUAUACCAUUAGAAGGAAAAAAAAAAAAAACGGGG